GCGUUGUCAUUCUGCUGUGCACCUGGGAGGGUUUUUCUCAGAGAGUUUGGCACGCCUGGUUUGUGCUGGGAAUCUGUUCACACAGACAGGUUAUGGAGUCCUUCAGCCUUGGGGGAUGUUUGCACUCACGGCCAGCGGGCUCUGAUGUGCGGGACGGAGCCUCUGCUCCAUGCAGCGUGGAAAAUCAUUUAAGAAUAUUUCAUGUGAUCUUCAAGGCAAUGCAUAAAAAGGUAAUUGGAAGAAUGGAUGAAAACUCUUUUUCCAUUAUCUGCCUCCAUCUUAUUUUUGAGUCUACUGGUUGCCUCCUUGUACGGAAGAGCAUGUCUUUCAUUUAUGAAGGCUGUCAGGCAGAACUCGGUGGCACACAGCCCUAAUCCCAGCAUUCUGGGAAACUGAGGCAGGAGGAUACCAUGAUCAAGCCACACCUGGGCAAUCUAAAAAUUUAGCAAGACUCUCUUUCAAAAUUAAUUGUUUUCUAAAUUCUGAGAAUGGUACUUACUGUGAACAUCCUGGGUUUAAUCUUCAGUGCCACAAAAGUUAUCAAGGAUAACAGCAACAACAACUAUAGCUCGGGUGGUUCGUGACCGUGACACCGUGUGGAGAAGCCUAUCCACGCACCUCACUGCAGUGUCACCGGCUCGCCUGAGAGCACUGAGGCUGCCAGGAAGGCCGGAGGCACAUCCCCUGGG
RNAcentral lists this long non-coding RNA (689 nucleotides) under Chinchilla lanigera (long-tailed chinchilla). Its description in RNAcentral is "lncRNA (ENSCLAG00000023610.1)". The record is from RNAcentral. Lineage: Eukaryota; Metazoa; Chordata; Mammalia; Rodentia; Chinchillidae.